Molecule: ribosomal RNA, 138 nt
Filed under: uncultured eukaryote
Lineage: Eukaryota
Description: partial 18S ribosomal RNA
Rfam family: Eukaryotic small subunit ribosomal RNA
Source: RNAcentral
UGGUGGGUUGCCUUGUCAGGUUGAUUCCGGUAACGAACGAGACCUCAGCCUGCUAAAUAGUAACACAUACUUUGGUAUGUGCUUUACUUCUUAGAGGGACUAUUGGCGUUUAGUCAAUGGAAGUGUGAGGCAAUAACA